UCCGAUAUGGUGUAGUGGCCAACAUUCCGCGUUUUCAUCUCGAGAUCCGCGGCGCCCGGGGUUCGAUUCCCCGUAUCGGAG
Molecule: non-coding RNA, 81 nt
Organism: Diaporthe citri
Lineage: Eukaryota; Fungi; Ascomycota; Sordariomycetes; Diaporthales; Diaporthaceae
Source: the annotation of a RefSeq genome assembly